Actinia tenebrosa (Australian red waratah sea anemone) is the source of this 390-nucleotide long non-coding RNA. RefSeq lists it as uncharacterized. NCBI's taxonomy places the organism in Eukaryota, Metazoa, Cnidaria, Anthozoa, Actiniaria, Actiniidae. The record is from RefSeq and is a predicted model, not a curated record.
UUUUUGUUCAAACUUCUAUCGUUAGCGCAAGGCCUUAGCUUCCAGAAAUUCCUUGGGGGAGGGGAAGGAAAUCAAAAAGACGUUUGAAAAUCCCUUACUCGUGGUCAUGCCAGAUAACAAUCUAAAACAGAAAAUAGAGAAGCGUACUGUUACCAUCAUACCUUAAAGGUAAACAUAAAGUCUUUCAUCUGAAAGGGAUUGAUCUUCUAUCCCCGCAUCAAUGCUAUUCAAGUGAAAACAGGAAAGAUAAUUUUGCUUGAUAUAUGAAGAAAAUCCAGUAUCAAAAGCUUAAGCUUGUUUAAUUGAGUAAGUAUAAUGUUUAGGUCACCCAUCCAAAUACUAACCCUCCCUAACCGGGCUUGACUCCCUGUCCUGGAAGACCAAGUUUUU